GCCCUGCUAGCUCAGUUGGUUAGAGCGUGGUGCUAAUAUCUGAAUAAGAUAAACACGCCAAGGUCGUAGGUUCGAUCCCUGCGUGGGGCA
Molecule: non-coding RNA, 90 nt
Organism: Flagelloscypha sp. PMI_526
Lineage: Eukaryota; Fungi; Basidiomycota; Agaricomycetes; Agaricales; Niaceae
Source: the annotation of a GenBank genome assembly